RNAcentral lists this long non-coding RNA (1262 nucleotides) under Trifolium pratense (red clover). Its description in RNAcentral is "long non-coding RNA (TPRA_LNC014385)". Lineage: Eukaryota; Viridiplantae; Streptophyta; Magnoliopsida; Fabales; Fabaceae. The record is from RNAcentral.
UUGGGAGCUGUUUGCCGUAACUCUGACGGGGAGCUUGUCGCGGCUGCAACGUGGGUGUUCUGACCCAGCUUUGGCUGAAGCUUGUGCCCUCUAUAAUGCAGUGAUUUUGGCGCGUGAUUGUUGCUUCCGUUAUGUUGAAUUUGAGAGUGACAAUAGUUCUAUCAUUGCUUUGGUGAAAGAGGGGAAUGGGAACCCUAGAUCGUAUUUAGGUGAUUUCAUUAGGGGAAUUCACCGUAAUAACUAAUAAAGUUGUUUUUAGGACUUGCACUUUUAGGUAGGGGUCUUGCAAUGUUGUUUGGUUUGGUUUUAAGCAUAAAAGUCAUUCUAACCGUGAGAUAAAAAUGCAUGCGACUCGGUUUGGUCCACCAAACCAAACUAGACCAAACCAAACCAAUACGAUUUGGAUUGAUUCGGUUGGUGUGGUUUACAGCAUAACGUUUCAGUACCGAAUAAUUUUAAACAUUCAAAAAAAAACUUUGAAGUUCCAAAAUAAGAUUGUAGUACCAAUAAAAAUUGUUUAUCCAAAAUAACAUUAUAGUAUCUUACAAUUUUAAAUAUCAAAAAAAAAAAACUUAGAAUUUCCAAAAUAACAUCACAGUACCGAUAAAAGUUGUUUAUCUAAAAUAACAUUACAGUAAAAAAAAUAAAAACAACUUGAAGUUCCAUUAAUUUGGUCGACUGACUUGGUAAUUGGGCUAUGUAGUAUGGACCACUUUAUCAAGUAGUGGUCCAUGGUGGACUAGUCAUGAAUAACAUUAUGACGAAUACGAGUUUUACAAAAUUCACCGUUGGAUUGAAAGUUUAUAUCAUAUAGAUCAUCCAUGAAAAAAUUUAGAAAAAUUGAAAAUUAUUUGAUAUGUUAUUGAGACUCAUCAAGAUUAACGGUUUAUUACAUACCAUAAAUUUUUAUUAACAAACUCACCAUAACAUAAGGCAUGUCUUUUUUUUUAUAUAAGUUUAGAUAAUAGAAAAUAUGGAUCACACAGACAGGCACGGAACGCGCCCUGUCUGGCCGCUAGUAAUAAAUAAUAAUAAUAAUAAUAAUAAUAAUAAUAAUAUAACUCCUACAAUUAAUUUAUUAAAGUCCUAAACUUGAGGUAUUACAGAUAACAUCAUGUUGAGGGUGAGUGUAGUUAUAUUUGGAAAACUUAUGAGCUUCCCAAAGCGGGUCACAUGCUUUGGCGUAUGUGUAUAGCGUGUUGAAUAAUGCUAGCAACACACUCUUUAACAAACACACUCCAACACACUUUCUUUUAUUGGUU